UAGCCUAAUGGAUAAGGCAUCAGCCUCCUAAUCUGGGGAUUGUGGGUUUGAGUCCCAU
Molecule: transfer RNA, 58 nt
Filed under: Xenopus laevis (African clawed frog)
Lineage: Eukaryota; Metazoa; Chordata; Amphibia; Anura; Pipidae
Rfam family: tRNA
About the family: Transfer RNA (tRNA) molecules are approximately 80 nucleotides in length. Their secondary structure includes four short double-helical elements and three loops (D, anti-codon, and T loops).
Source: Rfam by way of RNAcentral